AGAGUUUGAUCCUGGCUCAGAUUGAACGCUGGCGGUAUGCUUAACACAUGCAAGUCGAACGGAAACGAAACUAGCUUGCUAGUAGGCGUCGAGUGGCGGACGGGUGAGUAACGCGUAGGAAUCUGCCUGAUAGUGGGGGAUAGCCCGAAGAAAUUCGGAUUAAUACCGCAUAAUCUAUUCGUAGUAAAGUGGGGGACUUUCGAGCCUCACGCUAUCAGAUGAGCCUGCGUAAGAUUAGCUUGUUGGUAGGGUAAAAGCCUACCAAGGCAACGAUCUUUAGCUGGUCUGAGAGGAUGAUCAGCCACAUCGGGACUGAGACACGGCCCGAACUCCUACGGGAGGCAGCAGUGGGGAAUAUUGGACAAUGGGGGCAACCCUGAUCCAGCAAUACCGCGUGUGUGAAGAAGGCCUGAGGGUUGUAAAGCACUUUCAAUUGUGAAGAAAAGUCAAUGGUUAAUAACCGUUGACCUUGACGUUAACUUUAGAAGAAGCACCGGCUAACUCCGUGCCAGCAGCCGCGGUAAUACGGAGGGUGCAAGCGUUAAUCGGAAUUACUGGGCGUAAAGCGUGCGUAGGCGGUUUAUUAAGUCAGAUGUGAAAGCCCCGGGCUUAACCUGGGAACUGCAUUUGAAACUGGUCAACUAGAGUAUGGUAGAGGAAAGUGGAAUUUCUGGUGUAGCGGUGAAAUGCGUAGAUAUCAGAAGGAACAUCAAUGGCGAAGGCAGCUUUCUGGACCAAUACUGACGCUGAGGUACGAAAGCGUGGGUAGCAAACAGGAUUAGAUACCCUGGUAGUCACGCCGUAAACGAUGAUAACUAGCCGUUGGGGGGAUUUACCCCUUAGUGGCGAAGCUAACGCGUUAAGUUAUCCGCCUGGGGAGUACGGCCGCAAGGCUAAAACUCAAAGGAAUUGACGGGGACCCGCACAAGCGGUGGAGCAUGUGGUUUAAUUCGAUGCAACGCGAAGAACCUUACCUGGUCUUGACAUCCUGCGAACUUUCUAGAAAUAGAUUGGUGCCUUCGGGAACGCAGUGACAGGUGCUGCAUGGCUGUCGUCAGCUCGUGUCGUGAGAUGUUGGGUUAAGUCCCGUAACGAGCGCAACCCCUAUCCUUAUUUGCCAGCACAUUAUGGUGGGAACUAUAAGGAGACUGCCGGUGAUAAACCGGAGGAAGGCGGGGACGACGUCAAGUCAUCAUGGCCCUUACGACCAGGGCUACACACGUGCUACAAUGGGAAGGACAAAGAGCCGCGAAGCCGCGAGGUGUAGCUAAUCUCAUAAAUCUUUUCGUAGUCCGGAUUGGAGUCUGCAACUCGACUCCAUGAAGUCGGAAUCGCUAGUAAUCGUAGAUCAGAAUGCUACGGUGAAUACGUUCCCGGGUCUUGUACACACCGCCCGUCAUACCAUGGGAGUGGGUUGCACCAGAAGUGGCUAGUCUAACUUUGUGAGGACGGUCACCACGGUGUGAUUCAUGACUGGGGUAAAGUCGUAACAAGGUAACC
Molecule: ribosomal RNA, 1500 nt
Filed under: uncultured bacterium
Lineage: Bacteria
Description: bacterial SSU rRNA
Rfam family: Bacterial small subunit ribosomal RNA
Source: RNAcentral